UAAUACGGAGGAUGCAAGCGUUAUCCGGAUUCAUUGGGUUUAAAGGGUGCGUAGGCGGAUUAAUAAGUCAGUGGUGAAAUCCUACAGCUUAACUGUAGAACUGCCAUUGAUACUGUUAGUCUUGAAUUUGGUUAAGGUAGGCGGAAUGUGUAAUGUAGCGGUGAAAUGCUUAGAUAUUACACAGAACACCAAUUGCGUAGGCAGCUUACUGGACCGACAUUGACGCUGAGGCACGAAAGCGUGGGGAUCGAACAGGAUUAGAUACCCUGGUAGUCCACGCCGUAAACGAUGAUUACUCGCUGUUGGCGAUACACAGUCAGCGGCUAAGCAAAAGCAAUAAGUAAUCCACCUGGGGAGUACGGCCGCAAGGUUGAAACUCAAAGGAAUUGACGG
RNAcentral lists this ribosomal RNA (393 nucleotides) under bacterium enrichment culture. RNAcentral describes it as "bacterial SSU rRNA". It matches the Rfam family "Bacterial small subunit ribosomal RNA", at positions 521 to 916 of the family's 1533-position model. The record is from RNAcentral.